Molecule: ribosomal RNA, 378 nt
Filed under: uncultured eukaryote
Lineage: Eukaryota
Description: partial 18S ribosomal RNA
Rfam family: Eukaryotic small subunit ribosomal RNA
Source: RNAcentral
CAAUAGCGUAUAUUUAAGUUGUUGCAGUUAAAAAGCUCGUAGUUGGAUUUCGGGUGGGACGCAGCGGUCUCGCAUUGCGUUUGUACUGCUGCAGCCUUCCUUCUUGCCGGGGGCGGCCUCUCGGACUUCACUGUCUGGGGGUCAGAAUCGGCGAUGUUACUUUGAGUAAAUUAGAGUGUUCAAAGCAAGCUUACGCUCUGAAUAUAAUAGCAUGGGAUAACACGACAGGACUCUGGCCUAUCGUGUUGGUCUAUAGGACCAGAGUAAUGAUUAAGAGGGACAGUCGGGGGCAUUCGUAUUCCGUUGUCAGAGGUGAAAUUCUUGGAUUUACGGAAGACGAACAUCUGCGAAAGCAUUUGCCAAGGAUGUUUUCAUUGA